This 459-nucleotide ribosomal RNA is filed under the name uncultured bacterium. RNAcentral describes it as "partial 16S ribosomal RNA". It matches the Rfam family "Bacterial small subunit ribosomal RNA", at positions 338 to 795 of the family's 1533-position model. The record is from RNAcentral.
CCUACGGGUGGCAGCAGUGAGGAAUAUUGGUCAAUGGGCGCGAGCCUGAACCAGCCAAGUCGCGUGAAGGAUGACUGCCCUACGGGUUGUAAACUUCUUUUAUCAAGGAAUAAAGUGAGGCACGUGUGCCUUUUUGUAUGUUCUUUAUGAAUAAGGAUCGGCUAACUCCGUGCCAGCCGCCGCGGUAAUACGGAGGAUGCGAGCGUUAUCCGGAUUCAUUGGGUUUAAAGGGUGCGCAGGCGGGCCUUUAAGCCGGCGGUAAAAUCGCGGGGCUCAACCCCGCCGGGCCGUCGGAACUGGGGGCCUUGAGUGGGCCGGAGGCAGGCGGAAUGCGUGGUGUAGCGGUGAAAUGCAUAGAUAUCGCGCAGAACCCCGAUUGCGAAGGCAGCGUUCCGUGGCGCUACUGACGCUGAGGCACGAAAGUGCGGGGAUCGAACAGGAUUAGAUACCCGUGUAGUC